CAAUAGCGUAUAUUAAAGCUGUUGCGGUUAAAAAGCUCGUAGUUGGAUUUCUGUCAAGGACAACUGGUCCGCCCUCCGGGUGAGCACAUAGUUUGGUCUUGGCAUCUUGUUGGAAACUGUUGCUGCACUUGGUUGUGUGGCGCAGUGUCCAGCACUUUCACUUUGAGGAAAUUGGAGUGUUUCAAGCAGGCACAUGCCUUUGGACACAGUAGCAUGGAAUAAUUAGAUUGGGCUUUUGCUCCAACUUGUCGGUUUCUGGAGCUGAGGUGAGAAUUAAUGGGGAUUGUUGGGGGCAUCCGAAUUUAGCCGUCAGAGGUGAAAUUCUUGGAUCUGCUAAAGACGGACAACUGCGAAAGCGUUUGCCCAGGAUGUUUUCAUUGA
This 381-nucleotide ribosomal RNA is filed under the name uncultured eukaryote. RNAcentral's name for it is "partial 18S ribosomal RNA". It matches the Rfam family "Eukaryotic small subunit ribosomal RNA", at positions 592 to 976 of the family's 1831-position model. The record is from RNAcentral.